RNAcentral lists this ribosomal RNA (440 nucleotides) under uncultured bacterium. RNAcentral's name for it is "partial 16S ribosomal RNA". It matches the Rfam family "Bacterial small subunit ribosomal RNA", at positions 338 to 795 of the family's 1533-position model. The record is from RNAcentral.
CCUACGGGUGGCAGCAGUGGGGAAUAUUGCACAAUGGGGGAAACCCUGAUGCAGCGACGCCGCGUGAGUGAAGAAGUAUUUCGGUAUGUAAAGCUCUAUCAGCAGGGAAGAAAAUGACGGUACCUGAUUAAGAAGCCCCGGCUAACUACGUGCCAGCAGCCGCGGUAAUACGUAGGGGGCAAGCGUUAUCCGGAUUUACUGGGUGUAAAGGGGGCGUAGACGGCAGCACAAGUCUGGAGUGAAAUGCCGGGGCUUAACCCCGGAACUGCUUUGGAAACUGUGCAGCUAGAGUGGAGGAGAGGUAAGUGGAAUGCCUAGUGUAGCGGUGAAAUGCGUAGAUAUUAGGAGGAACACCAGUGGCGAAGGCGGCUUUCUGGAGUGUAACUGACGUUGAGGCUCGAAAGCGUGGGGAGCAAACAGGAUUAGAUACCCCAGUAGUC